GACCAGUCGCACGAAUGGCCCCUUUUGAACCCUUAUAAAAUCCCAUUUUAAAACCCUAAAGCCAUUCCCUCUCUGCCAUUUGAAGAUUUGCGCCGUAGCCCCUCUCCCUCUCUGUUGCUUCAGACUCCAACGAAGCAAAGAGACCUUCCGACGCCUCUCACAACGGUUAGUCCUCCUCCCCUCACCCUUUUCGUGUUUCGCUCUUAGGAAGAAGGAAGAGAUACCACGAAACAAACAACAAAAAAACAAUAAAAUAAUAAGAGAUCCCAGAAAACAAAAUUAAUCACCUCUCGAAUCCUUGCUUUUCUAUUUUUCCUCUUUAUUUCCUUUAAUUCUCAAUACCAAAAUUUGCUAACCCCCUUUACAGAUUUGAUUCCCCCCUUUAUACAACCGAAAACCCCUGUUUUUCGUUUGCCCCCUACCUCCUCUGUUCGUGGCUUAUUUGUUGCAGGUGGAUACUAGAGGAGGCGUGCGCGACGUGUGUACGGGGACUGAACAUGGGUGAAGACAGUUACGUGGGCAGUUACUGCGACGCGAAGAACAUGCGUGGCACGAAAGCUAUCUGCUGCUUAGAGUUAGGGUUUGCACACUUGGGCCAUAUUGGGCCGAAUGUAUUAGGAUUUAGCCCAAAUUUUAUUUUGACUGUAUAAUAAACUAUCUUUUUAUUAAAAUUGGUUUUAUUUUCUGCUAAGCCCGGGCCCAAAAUUGGGUAUUACAGCUAUUUCGACAUAUUAGUCACUAAAAAUUCAAUUUAUGUAUUAACAAUUCUCAUUUGUGUUAAUAUUAAAAUUUCAAAAUUUGAACAGUAUAGGGACUUAGAAUGAUCCAAUUAAAGAAUAUAGACUAUAUCUAUAAUCGUACGCAUAGUGCAAGACUAGUUAUUUAAUUUAACCAAACAGAUUUAACUGUUAUUAUUUGGGUUAGGACUAAAAUUCUAAAUUUUAAAAAAUAUAGGGACUAAAAUUGACCAAUUCAAAAAGUAUAAAGAUUAAAAUGAUCAAAUUAAACUAAAGGGACUAAAUCCAUACUUCUUAUAAAGUACAAAGGACUAAUACAAGAAUUUAACAAAAACACCCCCUCAAAUUUUCUACUUCUUGUUUUCAAAAAAAUAAUAGGUUGAAGGUUUCAAAAAAAUAAUACAAUCAACUUUUCAUUUGUCUCCAAUAAACGUUUCUAUGUUGUAAUUUGAGAAUUAACAUAUUUUCAUUCUUAAACUCAAGCAACGCUUGAUCAUAAAUUCUUGAUACCCCUUUUAACUACAAUUCUUUUUACCAUGUGCUAGUGUGACUUGAAAGAAUCUAUCAAUUAAUGAAGCAUACCACAACUCAAAUGAAAAUUUACUCCAAGCCUUUUGCAAAAUCUGCAUACUUCUUUUACUACCUCAACUUCUCUUAAAAGAACCUAUUAAUUAAUGAAUUAUUAUUAUUGUUAUACUUUUAAUCGUGUGAGUACACGUGGUAAAUCAGAAAAGCACCUAAAUACUAAGUUAGUUGUCAGCAAAUCGAAAAGUCACCCACAAGCUCUCAUUCUCAAAGACGACCACUCGGACAGGUGCAAACCAUCCUUUACUAAAUCUUCAAGCUUUCAUUUGGAACAUAAAAUUGUUGGUUACCAAACACAUCGUGGAAUCAAUGGUCUCAUACCAUCAAGUCAAAGUGAAUGACACGAUCUAUCUCAUCGCAGACAUUCUAGUCUCAUCAAAGACAUCUGCCCCAUGUGUUUCGUAAUGAUCACUAAAUGGCAAGCCUAACACAUUAACAUCAUCUUACUUGAGACCCUCGCUUAUAAAUACCUUUAGGAACGAUGAAGGAAAGAACGACUCUCCAAGAAUAUCAAGCAUAUACUUUGUCAACUUACCUUCGACCUUAGCAUUCUCCUCGCCUUCUUUCUUUUUAAUUUUUGGCUUUUUCACCCUAAUUGGGUGAACCAACCUCCACAACAACCAACACUCUCUCUUCCAUGCUUUUUCCUUGUAUCACUGUAUCAACAAUCACCUUGUAUACACAGCCAACUAGACCUUUUCCUAGCUCAUUUUAAUCACAAAAAAUAUUUGUUGGUGCAUGUAAAAUGCUCAAUUGAAUUGCAAGAAACUCCUAAGAUCUUUCUACAUUUUCUAGAUAAAACUUUCGCUUGAGUUCUCAUGCGGAAUGCUUCCCACUACCAGGUCAAGUAAUGGGACUUGUUGGCCUCUAUCCUCGGUGAUAAAACAUAAUGUGAUUGGUAUAAGAUUAUAACAAAAUAUUGUAAAUGCCAACAUGAUCUAAUAGUGCAUACAUUGAAAGUUUAUCCAAUUGUCCUCCUUUAGAGAUAAAGAUUGAAUGAAGAUUACUUGGCUUGUAUAUUAUAAUUUGUAAUUUUGCAAGUUUAGUAACAUAUUAGAUAACUACAAGUCAUUACAAAAGAGUAGAAUUUGAUUGUUUAUAGAAUGAUACUAUCUAUACCUAUUACUAAAGCUUUGGCCAAAGGUUACAGUGAUGCCUGCAAGCAAAUGGGUGAGAAUACAAACCACAACAUUAUCCUGCAUUGUUGCAGAUAUUCUAUGUUCAUUUCCCAACUUCUCACUCACAUUUAUUUCUUUAUAUCUUCAGAGGACUGGUAUAGGUUCUCUUAUAUAUUACUCCCAUUUGUUUUAGGCAGAGAACAGAUGAGAUAUCCAUUUAUUUUGCAUACUUUUCUAAGUCAAAAUUUCAUUAUCAAAUCAAGUAAAUUUUUAAAUGAAUAAAUUAAUUUUAAAAUUAAAAAUAAAAAUGAUACUUUUGGUUUAGUUUAUGCUUAUGCAGUUUGUCAGUGUAGUUUUAUCUUCCAUAAUACUAAGAGAACAUUAAUUUAACAAAGCAAACUCUAAAUAAAAAAGCAGUGGAAAUGUAUGGUUUAAGGGAACACCAUCACAAAACAUGUAAGCAAAUUAUUAAAAUAAAACUAAACUUAUAUAGCUCAAAAUAAGCCAUCCAUCUAAAUGAAACAAUAUAAUUGUUAUUUGUAAGGGCAAAGAGAAACACAUUAAGUUGUUGGAUUCUGAUAGUUGUUGAGCAUUGGCCUGCAAUGCAACAAGAAACUAGCAGACCAGCAUCGAAGUAAAACCAAAAGCAGCAUGAACAUUUUGUUUCUUUUAGUCUAAUUGUAACUUGUUCAAGUUGGCAUGUAACUUGUAACUUGUUAUCAAAGUUAGUAGGAUUAGUUUUAUGAUUUAAUUGAUGUAAUAGCUAAUAUGUCAGCUUCCUUUUGUGUGUAACUCAAGUUUGUAUUAGUCAUGUAUUAGUGGGAGUAGUUAAGUCAUUAGGUAACUGUCAAAUUACUUUGUAACAUUCAUAUAUUUUCAAAUUUUAAAUGAAAAAGUGUGAUGAAUUUUUAGUUAUCAUUCUUAAAACUCUCAUUCUUCUUUUGCUUCAAAUUUUCAGUUUUUGUUUUGCUUUGUUUAGCUGCCAAUGCUCCAACAAAUGGUAAUCAGAGCUUGUCAUCUUUGAGGGCCUCUGUUGUUGGUUAUUUUUGGUUACUUUAUUUUGAGAUUAAAAGCUUGAGAAGAAAAAAACAAGGAGCUGUCGACCUUGUUGUUUCAAAAUAAGUUUCACACCACCUCCACCACCUGUGUUCACUGGUGAAAACUACCACAUUUGGGUGGUUAAGAUGAAAACAUACCUUCAAGCACAUGAUUUGUGUAAUGUGGUCGAGAAUGAUGCUGAACCACCUCUAUUGAGGGCCAAUCCCACCAUUGUACAGAUCAGGCAACACAGUGAAGAGUGUGCCAAGAAGCAUAAAACAAUGACCUGUUUACAGAAUAGAGUAUCUAAUGUGAUCUUCACUCGGAUAAUGGCUUGUGACUCACCUAAGCAAGCAUGGGAGAAGCUGAAGGAGCAGUUCAUGAGUUUAGAUAAGACAAGGCAACAACAAUUGAUCGAUCUCAGGAAAGAUUUUGAGAACUUGAAGAUGAGGGAGUCAGAGACUAUUAAAUAAUAUUUAGACAGAAUAAUAGCCACUGUCAACAGCAUUAGGCUCCUUGGAGAAGACUUUAGUGAGAGCAGAGUUGUUGAAAAAGUAUCACCACUCUUCCUAAGAAGUUAGAGUCAAAUAUUUCAUCACUUAAGGACUCGAGAGACUUGUUAGCUAUCUCACUGUCUGAGCUGAUAAACUCCUUGCAUGCACUUGAGCAAAGGAAGGCCAAUAGGCAGGAAGAGCAUCCUAAAGGAACUUUCCAAGCAAAGGCUAAAGAAGGCUCAAGUUUAAGCCAGAAAGGGAAGAAGCCUUGGCUCGAUAAAAGGGAAAAACCAAUGAGAGAUGUAGGAAAGAAGAGGUUUCCAUCAUGCAUUCACUGCAAAAGAACUACACAUUUGGAGAAAUAUUGUUGGUAUAGGCCAGACAUUCAGUGCAGAAGCUGCAAACAAUUUGGCCAUAUUGAAAAGGUGUGUAAGAGCAAAGAGAAGGCACAAGCUCAGUAGCAAAUGCAAGCUAAGGUUGCUGAGGACUUUCAAGCUUAAGAGGAGUAUGUUUUCACUGCCUUAUGCUUUGCAGCCUCAAGCAAAGUAAAAAAGGACUGGCUAGUGGAUAGUGGCUGCACACAUCACAUGGCAGCUGAUGAAAGGUUGUUCAAAGACCUUGAUAGAAGUUUUUCCUCAAGAAUUAGAGUUGGUAAUGGGAACCUAAUUGAAGCCAAAGGCAGAGGUAAUAUGGUGAUCAACACUUGUUCAGGUCACAAAGUGAUUUCUGAUGUGCUUUUUGUACCUAACAUAGAUCAGAAUUUAUUUAGUGUUGGACAACUAGUAGAAAGAAGAUAUUCUCUGGUUUUUAAGAAUGGUUCUUGCAUUGUUGAAGACUCACAUGAUCAAAAGUUAGUCACAGUAGAAAUGACAGAUAGGUGUUUUAUGCUUGAUGUGAAUCAACUUGAGAAGAAGGCUUACACCAAUCUUGCUGAUAACACUGGUCUUUGGCAUAGGAGACUAGGCUAUGUCAAUUUUAGAUCACUUGAUUUGUUGCACAAGUUGAAUUUGGUAGAAUUCAUGUUAAAAGUUGAACCCAGAGACAUUGUUUGUGAAGUUUGCCAACUUAGUAAGCAGGCUAAAUUACCAUUUCCAUUUAAUAAGGCGUGGAGAGCUCGAGACAGACUUGAGUUGGUCCAUUUUAAUGUCUGUGGGACAAUGAAGACUCCUUCCUUAAAUGUCAGUAGAUAUUUUGUACUAUUUAUUGAUGACUUGACCAGGUUUUGUUGGGUUUAUUUCUUGAAGCUGAAAUUUGAAGUGUUUGAAGCAUUCAGUAAAUUCAAAGCUUUAGUUGAAAACUAGACUAGUUACAAGAUCAAGGCUUUGAGAACUGAUAAUGGCACUGAGUACCUAUCUGAAAGGUUGCAAAAAUUGUGUAAGCAAGCCGGGAUUCAUCUUCCAUUAACAACAGUCUAUAUACCUCAGCAAAAUGGAGUAUGUGAGAGAAAGAAUAGAACUGCGCUUAAUAUGGCCAGAUGUCUGUCAUUUUAGAGUAAGCUUCCAAGUAAAUUUUAGGCUGAGGCAGUUAAUACCUCAGUGUACCUACUUAACAAGCUGCCAACUCAUGCUGUCAAUGACAAGACUCCUUUUGAAGCUUGGCAUGGACUCAAGCCAACCGUUUCACACCUGAAAGUGUUUGGUUGUGUCUGUUAUACUCUCAUCCCAACUGAGAAGAGAACCAAGCUUGAAAGAAGGGCUGUUCCAAGGAUAUUUAUUGGCUACAGUAGCACAAAAAAGGGCUACAGGGUAUUUGAUCCUUCAACAAGAAGGAUUUUAGUGAGUAGAGAUGUAAGGUUUGAUGAAGAGAAGGUUUGGAGUUGGAAUGAUGCAGAUGCAAGGUUGAUUGAAGAACAUCAACUUGACAACAGCCUGGAAUUAGUUGAAAAUGAACCUAGCAAUGAAGAUUUUGAUAAUGCUCCUGUGAGAGGCACCAGAACAAUUGCUGACAUCUACCAAAGAUGUGAUGUUGCAAUAGUGGAACUUUUAAAUUUUAAAGAAGCUACCAAGGACAAGUGUUGGAAGAAGGCCACGGAAGCUGAAUUAGACAUGAUUCAUAAGAAUAACUUUUGGGAAUUGGUUGAUAGACCAGAUCAGAAAAAAGUUAUAGGUGUCAAGUGGGUGUUUAGAGCCAAGUACAAUGCUGAUGACUCAUUGAACAAACACAAGGCAAAGCUUGUGGUAAAAGGCUACAGCCAGCAAUAUGGCAUCGAUUUCAUGGAGACAUUUACUCCAGUAGCAAGGCUAGACAAAAUUAAAAUUCUGUUUGCCUUGGCUGCUCAGAAGCAUUAGAGGGUUCACCAGUUAGAUGUUAAGUCAUCAUUUCUUAAUGGUUUUCUCAAGGAGGAAAUUUUCAUUGAGCAACCAGAUGGGUUUAAGGUCCUAGGAGAGUCUAUAAGUUGAAAAAGACAUUGUAUGGCCUAAAGUAGGUACCAAUGGCCUAGUUUAACAGGAUUGACACAUACCUGUCUAGGCUCGGGUUUGAAAAAAAGUGUUAGUAAAGCUACACUUUAUGUGAAGAGAUCAGAAAAUAAGACCCUGCUGAUUGUUUCUCUUUAUAUGGAUGGCUUAUUUGUGACUGAAAGCAAAGAUGAUUUGAUUAGUGAAUUCAAAGUGCAAAUGCAAGAGGUGUUUGAAAUGACAGAUUUGGGAGUCAUGAUAUACUUCAUUGGUAUAGAAGUGAAUCAAUCUGAUCAAGGCAUUUUCAUUAGCCAACGUGCCUUUGCUUUGAAAAUUCUCAAUAGAUUUUGCAAGUUAAACUGCAAAAUAGUCACUACACCUGUGGCUCAAUGAAAGAAGCUGACUAGUAGUUGGAAUCAAGAGAGGGUUGAUGAGAAGGAAUAUCGAAGCCUAGUAGGUUGCUUGCUUUACUUAACAACAACUAGACCUGACAUUAUGUUUGAUGUUAGUCUUUUAUCAAGAUUUAUGCACUGUUGUGAUGUAGUUCAUUUUAAAGUAGCUAAUAGGAUCCUCAGAUAUGUCAAGGGAACUUUAAGUUAUGGAAUUAAAUUUGAGAAGAGAAAAGAGCUUAAGCUGACAGGAUACUCUAAUAGUGAUUGGGAUCGCUCUGUCGAUGAUAUGAAGAGCUCCUUGGUUACUUUUUUACUCUUGGAUCAAGAGUUUUCUAUUGGAGUUCAAAGAAACAACAAACGGUUGCUCAAUCAAUAGCUAAAGCAGAAUACAUUACAGCUGUUGUAGCUGUUAAUCAAGCCAUUUGGCAUAGAAAGCUUCUAUGUGACUUGAAUGAAGAACAGAUUGAACCAACUGAAAUCAGGGUUGAUAACUAGUCAGCAGUUUUCAUAGCCAAAAAUCUAGUUUUUCAUGGCAAAACUAAAUAUUUUGAUAUCAAAUUUCACUUUUUUCGAGAAUCUGAGCAAUCAAAAGAAGUCAGUCUUGUUCAUUGUAGCUCAGAAAACCAAUUAGCUGAUAUUUUGACUAAGUCACUCGGUGCUACAAGGUUUGAAAUGUUAAGGAGAAAAAUUGGUGUUUGUUGCAUACAGUCCAAGGAGGAGUGUUGAGUAUUGGCCUACAAUAUAACAAAAAACCAGCAAACUAGUAUCGAAGUAAAACCAAAAGAAGCAUAAGCAUUUUGUUUCUUUUAGUCUAAUUGUAACUUGUUCGAGUUGGCAUGUAACUUGUAACUUGUUAUUAAAGUUAGUAGGAUUAGUUUUAUGAUUUAAUUGAUGUAAUAGUUGAUAUGUCAGCUUUCUUUUGUGUGUAACUCAAGUUUGUAUUAGUCAUGUAUUAGUGGGAGCAGUUAAGUCAUUAGGUAACUGUCAAAUUACUUUGUAACUUUCAUAUAUUUUCAAAUUUUAAAUGAAAAAGUGUGAUGAAUUUUCAGUUAUCAUUAUUAAAACUCUCAUUCUUCUUUUGCUUCGGUUUUUCAGUUUUUGUUUUGCUUUGUUUAGCUGCCAAUGUUCCAACAAUAGUGCAUCUAAUACAGUACUAAAAGCUUGAUAACAUCUUUUUGAGUGAACAUUAUUGGAGCUUACUGCUACUCACUCAGCUUUGGCUUAACAUAAAGAUUGUUUAAAGAAAUCCAUGAAUAGGAUAUUCUGAAACAGAGAUGAACAAAGUAAUAUAUGAUGAACAUAAGAAUUUAGAAGCUAAAAUCAUUUGCCAUCCAUUUAUUCUUACCUACUCUUAUGGGAUACAAAGUGCAGUCUCAACUUACUGCAAUGUGCUUCUUUUAAAAUAGUAGAAUUGAGCUUUGAAAACUUUAUUAGGAGACAGCAUGUCCAACCAUUGAUCCUGAAAAUAUAGUAGAAAAUUAUAUCCUAAAUUCAUCAAAUCAAAAUCAUUUUUGAAUGAACAAUGAAUUCUGGGCAGCAGUGAUCACUAAUAACAGAUAUGGAUGAAUAAUACUGCAGAUGUCUAGACAUCCUUAUUAACGGGAAUGUAGUGGUCUUUUAGAUAAUUCUUGGAUGUAAUUUGAUAAUUUAAUGACUACUAAAAAGUUCAAACUUUCUUACUUUUUUUCUUUUAAUUUGGUUUGCUCAAACUCAACCUGUCAAAUAAGAAUACUCUUAUUUAAAAUUAAAAUUCAAAAGUAGAAAAUCACCUAAUUACCGAUUCAAAUGGAUGGAAUGUAGGAUAUGUUGGGCCAAUCCUCUCCUCUCUCUUUCUAGCACCGCCUUUCCAGAUGUGGACACCCUGCAAUGCUUAGCAUUUCUAGAGUCAUGAGGCUUUGUAUCCCUCAAGGCAAUGACAUAAAACUGGAGCAAUCCUUAAUCUCCAAUUUUGAAAGUAAGGUGAGGUGUUGUAUCUCAUUUGAAAGAGAAAUUAAUCUCUCAUAACUCGAAAUACACAAAGGUUGAAGAGAAGAGAGAUGUUGGACAAUCAUCAAUAACCAAGUCUAGGAGUGAAGUCAAAUAUCACACCCCUUCAGUUAAAGAGGCUAAUUUCUUACUAUGAUGAAUCGUCAGUGAAAAUAAGGAAGAUAAGCCUUGCAAUCCAUUUAUCGGAAGAGAUAAAAGGCUAUCACAUCGAGUUAACUAUAAGAAUAUUGGCAUUCAACAUCAAAGAUUUGAGUAAAGCAACAUUAAUUCUUUCAACAUUUAGAUUUUUUAGAGAUUGAAGCAUUGGAAAUUUAACCAACUUAGGACAAUCUUCAAUAAUUAAUGAACUUAAGAUAGGAAAAUGUUCUCUACCAUUCAUUGCUGUUCAUUUCUCCAAACAUGGUGCCCAACGUAUUUCAAGAACCUUGAGUGAUGGAAAAGAACUUUCCAUAUCUCUAUAGAAGUUGCUGUCAAUAUACUUCAAAGCACCCAUUCUAUAAAUAGUAAGGACCUCAAGGAAGCGUAAUUUCCCUAAAGGUAGUAGAUGGUAUCUUUCACAAUUUAUUAAUGAGAUUUCAACAAGGUUUGGUAGAAGCAAAUCCAUCAUCCAAUAUGGAAACUUAACACAUUGGCAAUCAAUUAGGCAUAACUUCUUCAAGCUUGAAUGAGGCUGGAAAAAAUUAAGAAUCUCUUCAUCAUUUCCAUUUUGAUGAUGAGAGGUUUCUUAGCUCUUUACUUCCCAAGAUGGCCUUAACGAUCUUAAAUUUUGCUUCUCUAAAAAUAAAAUAUCGGUAAUGACAAUAUAUAAUUUUUACGUGGAAACCUUUUCAGGAAAAAAACCACGGACAAAUGAGAAGAAAAUUCACUAUGUCGAAUUCGAAUGAUUACAAGAGGAGUAAACUAUGUCUAUUUAUAGGCUUGUAAAACCAUAUCCUAAUAGGAGUCUAGUAAGAUUGAAACACCUUAUUCUAAUAAAUAUCAAAUAAGUGGAGUUUAAUAAGGUUUAAAAAACCUUAUUCUAAAAUAAAAUAAAAUAAAAGAAGUGUAAUUCUAUAGGGAUUUUACUUUUAUUUUAUUUUACCACUGUAUUUUAUUUAAAUAAGGAUUCGGGUCACUUAAUUCUAACAAUCUCUACCUUGACACGAAUUCUCAAUGAACAAGUUCUUCAUCGCAAACUUUCAACGAAUAAGUUCUCCACCUCUUCCAUAAAACCCCUUAAGAGUUUAACCUCAACAAUGAACACCAAUCAAGUCUAAGCAAUGCUCAAACUUGGUUAUAGAAAGUGACUUAGUCAUCAUAUUUGCAAGAUUUUCAUGAGUACUAAUUUUACUCACAGCAAUAUCACCACGAGCAAUAAUAUCACGAAUAAAAUGAUACCGAACAUCAAUGUGCUUUGCUCUCUCAUGAAACAUUUGAUCUUUUGUAAGGAAGAUGGCACUCUAACUAUCACAAAAUAUUGUAUUGAUUUGAAGGUCUUCAUUGAGUUCACUAAAUAGUCCCUUCAACCAAAUAGCUUCUUUACAAGCCUUAGUAAUCACCAUGUACUCAACUUUAGUGGUAGAUAAAGCGACUGUAGUUUGCAAAAUGGUUUUCCAACUGAUUGCACAACCUUCGAUUGUAAAUACAUAACCUGUGAGAGAUCUUCUUAUAUCAAGAUCUCCAGCAAAAUCAAAACCAACAUACCCAAUGACUCCAUCUCUAGUUUUUCCAAACUGUAAGCAAACAUCAGUAGUACCUCGUAAGUAUCUUAAAACCCACUGAAUUGCUUUCCAAUGUUCUUUACUGGGAUUCGCCAUGUAUCUGCUAACUGCACUGACUGCAUAUGAUAAAUUUGGACGUGAACAAACUAUGGCAUACAUGAAAGAUCCCACUGCACUAGAGUAUAGAACAUAUGACAUGUAUUUAAUAUCAUCAUCUGAUUGUGGAGACAAAGCCGAUAAAAGUCUGAAAAGGGCUACUAAAGGAGUACUAACAGGCUUAGCAUUCUGCAUAUUGAAUCUGCAAAGAACUUUCUCAAUGUACCCCUUCUGACUUAGGUACAAUUUACUUGCUUUUCUAUCUCUAAGAAUCUCCAUACCAAAUAUCUUCUUUGCUGGUCCCAAAUCUUUCAUCCCAAAUUCUUCACUUAGUUGGGCUUUGACCUUUCUUAUCUCUCCUUUAUCUUUCGCUACUAUCAACAUGUCAUCAACAUAAAGGAUUAGAUACACAAAAGAACCAUCACUAUUUUUGUUAAAGUAAACAUAACUGUCAAAGCUACUUCUUUUAAAAUCAUGAGAAGUCAUAAAUGAAUCAAACCUCUUGUACCACUGUAUUGGUGACUGUUUUAAACCGUAAAGGGACUUUUUCAGCAAGCAAACAUAAUCCUCUUUUUUUGAGAUUGUAAAACCCUCUAGUUGUUGCAUGUAAAUAUCCUCUUCAAGUUCUCCAUGCAAAAAUACAAUUUUUACAUCUAACUGCUCCAGAUCCAAAUCAUACAUGGCCACAUUACCAAGCAAAGCUCGAAUCGAACUAUACUUCACAACUGGGGAGAACAUAUCUGUGAAGUCCACUCCUAGAAUUUGACUAUAACUCUUUGCAACAAGCCUUGCUUUAUAUCUAGGUUUUUCAACUCCUAGAGUCCCAUCUUUCUUUUUAAACACCCAUUACAACGAAUAACCUUUUUACCUUUAGGAAGUUUCAUAAGAUCCCAUGUUUUGUUUUUGUGGAGUGAUUCCAUCUCCUCUUGCAUAACAAACAUCCAUUUUUCUGAGUCUUCACAACUAACCGCCUCAGAAUAAAUAGAUGGCUCUUGGUUUGCAUAUAUAUCUUAAGCCACAUUUAAAGCAUAAGCAACAAGAUCAGCCUCGACAUACUUCUUUGGAGGUUUAAUUUCUCUUCUAGUUCUGUUUUUGGCGAUAAAGUAUUAUGGUGAAGAAGCAACUCUAUUCUGAAUUUUAGUACUGGCUUGAGGAGUCGACUCUAUUGUAGAUUCUGAAUUAAGCUGAUUUUCCACCUACUUUUGAUUUUCUUUAUUCGAAGAGCCUUUAAGAGAUAAGUUAGGUAGCAUAACAGUUUCAUCAAAAACAACAUCUCUGCUAAUCACAACUUUUCUAUUUUCAAGACACCAUAACAUAUACCUUUUUACACCAGCUUUAUAACUAAGAAAAAUACAUUUAAUAGAUCUCAGUUCCAAUUUUCCAUUAUCAACAUGAGCAUACGCAGGACACCCAAAGAUUUUUAAAUCAGAAUAGUUAGUAGGAUUACCAGACCAUACCUUUUGUGGAGUCUUUUUUUCAAUGGUAAUGGAUGGAGAUCGGUUGAUAAAAAAAUAUGCAGUAGAGGCUGUUUUGGCCCAAAAUGACUUUGGUAAGUUGGAAUUUAACAACAUACACCGACCCUUCUCCAUGAUCGUUCUGUUCAUUAGUUCUGUAAUGCCAUUUUGCUGUGGCGUAUGACGAACUGUCAAAUGUCUCACGAUCCUUUCUGACUUACAUAGCUUAUUAAACUCACCAGAACAGAAAUCUAAGCCAUUAUUUGUGUGGAAGUAUUUUAUUUGUUUUCCCGUCUAUUUUUCAAUCAUAGUUUUCCAAAACUUAAAUGCGAAAAACACAUCGCUUUUAUGCUUCAGAAAGAACGCCCAAACUUUUUGGGAAAAAUCAUCAAUAAAAGUUAGCAUAUAAUUAGCUCCACCUCUCGAAGGCACUUUGGAAGUCCCCAACAGAUCAGAAUGAAUAUACUCCAACAUUUCCUUCAUUUUAUGGAUUCCUGUAGUGAAUCAAACUCUCUUUUGCUUCCUAAAAAUGCAGUGCUCACAGAACUUCAGUUUGUAAAUUUCUUACCCAUCAAUAAGUCUUCUUUUGCUCAAUUCUGCCAUGCCAUUCUCACUCAUAUGCCCUAGGCGCAUAUGCCAAAGGUUAGUAAUAUCAUUAUCUGACAAGAAAGAGGAUGCGACAGUUGCAUCACCAAUAACAGUAGAACCCUACAAAAUAUAUAACUUGACAGUCUUUCUCUGCCCUUUCAUCACAACGAGGGAACCUUUAAAAAUCUUCAAAACCCUACUUUCAGCUGUGUAUUUGUACUAUUUUGAAUCAAGAGUACUCAACGAAAUUAAAUUUCUCUUCAAUUCUGGAACAUGUCAUAUGUCACUAAGUGUUCUAACAACUCCAUCAAACAUUUUAACUUUAAUUGUUCCAACACCUGCGAUUUUACAUGAAGUAUUAUUUCCCAUCAAAACUACACCUUCAGACACUGUUUCGUAAGUUGUAAACCAAUCCCGAUUGGGACUCAUAUGAAAGGUGCAACUCGAAUUAAGGAUCCAUACCUCGCUCACUUUAGAAUUGUUGACAAAAGCGACUAGAAGUUCACCAUCGCUGUAGUCUUCGACAACAUCAGCUUUACCGAAAUUUUCUGGUUGUUUUCCAUUUUAAUUAGCAGCCUCCAUUUUGAUAUUAUUCUGUAGCUUAUAGCACUUAGAUUUAAAAUACCCUUUCUUUUUGCAGAAGUUACAAGGUUUACCACUGUUUGAAUACUUUGAUCUACUAUUAGAUUUACCGCGAGGAUUCUGUUCCUGUGUUUUUCCAUGAUCAUCAUUAGUAUUCUGUUCAUUAGUUCUGUAACACCAUUUUACUGUGGAGUAUGAUGAACUGUCAAAUGUCUCAUGAUCCUUUCUGACUUUCAUAGUUUAUUAAACUCAUCAGAACAAAACUCGAAGCCAUUGUUUGUGUGGAGGUAUUUUAUUUGUUUUCCCAUCUGUUUUUCAAUCAAUCAUAUUUUUCCAAAAUUUAAAUGCAGAAAACAUACCGCUUUUCUGCUUCAGGAAGAACGACCAAAAUUUUCUACAAAAAUCAUCAAUAAUAGUUAGCAUAUAAUUAGCUCCACCUCUCGAAGGCACUUUGAAUGUCCCCCACAGAUCAGAAUGAAUAUACUCCAACGUUUCCUUUGUUUUAUGGAUUCCUGUAGUGAAUCAAACUCUCUUUUGCUUCCUAAAAAUGCAGUGCUCACGGAACUUCUGUUUGCAAAUUCCUUACCCAUCCAGAAGUCUUCUUUUGCUCAAUUCUGCCAUGCCAUUCUCACUCAUAUGCCCUAGGCGCAUACGCCAAAGGUUAGUAAUAUCAUCAUCUGACAAGAAAGAGGAUGCGAUAGCUGCAUCACCAAUAACAGUAGAAUCCUACAAAUAUAUAACUUGACAGUCUUUCUCUGCCCUUUCAUCACAACGAGGGAACCUUUAGAAAUCUUCAAAACCCCACUUUCAGCUGUGUAUUUGUACUAUUUUGAAUCAAGAGUACUCAAUGAAAUUAAAUUUCUCUUCAAUUCUAGAACAUGCCAUACGUCACUAAGUGUUCUAACAACUCCAUCAAACAUUUUAACUUUAAUUAUUCCAACACCUGCGAUUUUACAUGAAGUAUUAUUUCCAAUCAAAACAACACCUUCAGACACUGUUUCGUAAGUUGUAAACCAAUCCCGAUUGGGACUCAUGUGAAAGGUACAACUCGAAUCAAGGAUCCACUCCUCGCUCACUUUAGAAUUGUUGACAAAAGCGACUAGAAGUUCACCAUCGCUGUAGUCUUCUACAAAAUCAGCUUUACCAAAAUUUUCUGGUUGUUUUCCAUUUUAAUUCGCAGCCUCCCUUUUGAUCUUAUUCUGUAGCUUAUAGCACUUAGAUUUAAUAUGCCCUUUCUUCUUGCAAAACUUACAAAGUUUACCACUGUUUGAAGACUUUGAUCUACUCUUAGAUUUACCGCGAUGAUUCUGUUCUUGUGUCUUUCCACGAUCAUCAUCAGCAUUCUAUUCAUUAGUUCUGUAACGCCAUUUUGCUAUGGUGUAUGAGGAACUGUCAAGUGUCUUACGAUCCUUUCUAACUUACAUAGUUUAUUAAACUCAUCAGAAUAGAACUCUAAGCCAUUGUUUUUGCGGAGGUAUUUUAUUUGUUUUCCCAUCUGUUUUUCAAUCAUAGUUUUCCAAAACUUAAAUGCGAAAAACACAUCACUUUUCUGCUUCAGGAAGAACGCCCAAACUUUUCUGGAAAAAUCAUCAAUAAUAGUUAGCAUAUAAUUAGCUCCACCCCUCGAAGGCACUUUGGAUGGCCCCCACAGAUCAGAAUGAAUAUACUCUAACGUUUCCUUUGUUUUAUGGAUUCCUCUAGUUAAUCAAACUCUCUUUUGCUUCCUAAAAAUGUAAUGCUCACAAAACUUCAUUUUGCAAAUUCCUUGCUCAUCAAGAAGUCCUCUUUUGCUCAAUUCUGCCAUGCCAUUCUCACUCAUAUGCCCUAGGCGUAUAUGCCAAAAUUUAGUAAUAUCAUCAUCUGACAAGGAGGAGGAUGCGACAGCUGCAUCACUAAUAACAGUAGAACCCUGCAAAAUAUAUAACUUGGCAGUAUUUCUCUUCCCUUUCAUCACAACGAGGGAACCUUUAGAAAUCUUUAAAACCCCACUUUUAGCUGUGUAUUUGUACUGUUUUGAAUCAAGAGUACUCAAUGAAAUUAAAUUUCUCUUCAAUUCUGGAACAUGUCAUAAGUCACUAAGUGUUCUAACAACUCCAUCAAACAUUUUAACUUUAAUUGUUCCAACACCUGUGAUUUUACAUGAAGUAUUAUUUCCCAUCAAAACAAAACCUUCAGACACUGUUUCGUAAGUUGUAAACCAAUCUCGAUUGGGACUCAUGUGAAAGGUACAACUCGAAUCAAUGAUCCACUCCUCGCUCACUUUAGAAUUGUUGACAAAAGCGACUAGAAGUUCACCAUCGCUGUAGUCUUCUACAACAUCAGCUUUACUGAAAUUUUUUGGUUGUUUUCCAUUUUAAUUCGCAACCUCUCUUUUGAUCUUAUUCUGUAGCUUAUAACACUUAGAUUUAAUAUGCCCUUUCUUCUUGCAGAAGUUACAAGUUUUACCAUUGUUUGAAGACUUCGAUCUACCCUUAGAUUUACCGCGAGGAUUCUGUUCCUGUAUCUUUCCACGAUCAUCAUCAGCAUUCUGAUCUUGUCUCCCACGAACAAUGAGACGCUCUCCCUGAGAGUAGGUUUUAACCACAAGAUGCUUCAUCUUAUCAUACGAGGUUAAAGAAUCAUAAACCUUAUGAACUGUGAGAGACUCACAGCUAUAUAAAAUAGUAUCUCUAAAGUUUGAAUAAGACAAGGGUAAUGAAUAAAGUAGAAUCAACCCUAGAUCUUUUUUUAUCAUACUGAACCUCCAUGACCUCCAAGUUUGAGAGAAUUCUUUAAACACUGUUAAGUGUUCGUGCACAGACGCAGCUUCCUCCAAACGAUGAGUAUAAAGACGCCACUUCAUAUGCAACUUGCUAGUUAGAGUAUUCGACAUGCAUAUUUGUUCCAACCUCUUCCAUAAUCUAGUGACGGUCUUCUCCUUCAUCACAUCCUGCAAAAUUUCGUUAGAAAAAUGUAGAUGUAACUGUGUUAACGCCUUUCGAUCCUUGCGAUUCUUCUCUUCCUCCGUCAGUGUCGAAGGCAUCUUAUCUACCCCUAACAGGGAUUCCUCUAAGUCCAUCUGUGCAAGAACUGCCUGCAUCUUUAUCUGCCACAACGCAAAUCUGGUGUUGCGAUCCAAUAGCGAAAUUUCAUACUUCAAAGAUGUCAUUACCGUGAUUAAGAUGAACAACCCAAAAGCUCAGAUACCAAUUUGUAAAAAUAGAAUGUCGGUAAUGACAAUAUAUGAUUUUUACGUAGAAACCCUUUCGGGAAAAAAACCACGGGCAGAGGAGAAGAAAAUUCACUAUGUUGAAUUCAAAUGAUUACAACAGGAGUAGACUAUGUCUAUUUAUAGGCUUGUAAAACCAUAUUCUAAUAGGAGUGUAGUAAGAUUGAAACACCUUAUUCUAAUCAAUAUCAAAUAGAUGGAGUUUAAUAAGGUUUAAAAAACCUUAUUCUAAAAUAAAAUAAAAGAAGUGUAGUUCUAUAAGGAUUUUACUUUUAUUUUAUUUUACCACUAUAUUUUAUUUGAAUAAGGAUUCAGGUCACUUAAUUCUAACAGCUUCUUUAUCAAAUUGGCAUUUUUAGCUUCUGUUGAACUAUUCACAUUGCAAAGUCCUGUGAUGCUCAUUUCCCCCAGUAGGUCCAACUCUUUCAACUUAUCAAUGCCACAACAACCAUAGCACUUUCCCACAAUGAACUCGCUGAGCUUGUGCAAGCAUGACAAUUGACCCACCCCAACAGGCAUAGAAGUUGGUGCAUGACAAUUUUGGUAUUUUAUGAAUAAAAUUAUAAGAAGUUAAUUGAAUGACUUCAAAAAAUUGAAUAUGUCACUUUUUUUAUAGGUGUAUUCGCUCCCACCAUAUAUUUUAAUGUACAAAAGAGUUACUAGUAAAUAAAAGACUUAAUGAUAAAUUUAGCCACUAACGUUUACAUAUAAUUUGAUUCUUAUUUAUAAGAAAUCUUAUCUCUCUUUACAAAAACACAACAAUCUAAAUUGAUGUUUAUUUGAAUUACUAUAUUUUUUUAAAAGUUGAAUUACUAUAUCUUAAUAAUAUAAUGAUUAUAUUUGAAUCAUCACAACUCUUACUUAAUAAUUAAUUGAUAUAAUUUUUAUAAUUUAGAGAUAUAAUCUAGCACUUUUAAUUUUUCAUUUAGAUUAAUUAUGAAUUUUUAUUUAUAAAUAUUAUAAAUAGUUUAAAAAUAUUCCAACAUAAACUUCUAGGUAAAUAAGUUUUGGUGGAUAAAGUUUAAUUCUUGCAAACUAAAAUACAAAAUGGGAAAAAAAAAUCCGCCCUUAUAUUUUAACUCAUGAAAUAUGGUAUGCUAUAAUGCUAUAUUCAUAUCCUCAAAUAGAGUUGAACAAAGUAAAUAUCUGAACAUAACAAUUUAGAAGCUAUAAGUAUUUGUGGUUUAUUUAUUCUUACCUGCUCUUCUCAACUUAAUGCAACGUGCUUUGUUCAAAUAGCAUAAUUGAGCGUUUUUGAAAUUUUUUCAGAAGAUGUCUUCUCCACCAAGCCUGAAAAUAUAUAUAGAUAAUCAUAUCUUAAUUUUUCAUCAAAUGAAAAACAUUAAUAAUUGACAUAGAUGAAUUAUACUACAUUGAACAUAUUUAGAGAUCCUUAUUCACAGAACUGUACUGGUCAGUGAUAAGAUAGUGGUAAGAUUACUCAAAAAAAAUAUAUUUUUUUUAAAAAUUGGUCCGGCUCAAACUCAACUCACCAAGAAAGAGUAUGUUAGCAUUAAAAAUUAAAAGUAAAAAGUAAAAAAAAUAGAAAUCGCCUUUUUGUGUAUUUCAAUGAUUGGAAUGUGAUUUAUGUUGGGCCAAUCUUCUCCUCUCUUUUAUUUACCCCGCCUUUCUAGAUGUGGGCAUUCUACGAUUUUCAGUGUUUCCAAUACCGUGAGGCCCCGUAUCCCUCGGGGCAAUGACAUCAAAUUAGGGCAACAUUCAAUCUCCAGUUUUGAAAGUAAGGCAAGGUGUUCUAUCUCAUUUGGGAGAGAAAUUAAUCUCUCACAAAAGCAUAUAAGUAGAGAUCAAAGAGAAGAGAGAUAUUGGAUACUAUCUGGCAAUGAGGUUAACUUUGGGCAUCCACCGAUAAGCAAGUAUUGGAGUGAAGUCAGAUAUCUCACCCCCUCGCAUAAAGAGCCUAUUUCUUACAAUUUUGAAUCCGCAAUAAAGACAAAGAAGAUAAGCCUUGCAAACCAUUUACUGGAAGUGAUACUAGUCUGUCACAUUGACUUAAUUUCAAAGUUUCUAAAGAGCUGAGGUUUUGUAAUCCUGAAGACAAGCUUUCAAGUUGUAAGCUACAUGUAAAACUCAAGUGUUUAAGGGUGGAUAGAUUAUCCGAUAGAUCACAUGAAGACAUUAGAGUACUUGACACAAACGUCAAGCUGUCAAGGUGUUUUUGAUUGUGCAAUAGUCCAUCCGGUAAAUCCGUUAACUCAUCAAAUUGACGAAUCUUAAGAGAUGUAAGAAUAGUGGCAUUCAUCAUCAAAGAUUUGAGUAAAGUAACAUUAAUGCCUCCAAUUUCUAGGUUUUCAAGACAUUGAAGCAUUGGCAUCUUAACCAACUUGGGACAAUAUUCGAUAGUUAACGAACUUAAGAGAGGAAACUGUUCUCUUCCUCCAAACAUGGUGCCAUACCUAUUUCGAGAACCUUGAGUGAUGGAAAAGAACUUUCCAUAUCUCCAUAGAAGUUGCUGUCAAUAUACUUCAGAGCACCCAUUCCCUUAAUAGUAAGGACUUCGAGGAAGCGUAAUUUCCCUGGAGGUGGAAGUUGAUGGCAUCUUUCACAGUUUGCUAGUGAGAUUUCAACAAGGUUUGGUAGAAGCAAAUCCAUCAUCCAAUAUGGAAACCUAACACCUUGGUAAGCAUCUACGCAUAACUUCUUCAAGCUUGGAUGAGGUCGAAGAACAUCAAGAAUCUCUUCAUCAUUUCCACGUUGAGAUCUUUCCCCAUUAUUUACUCGCCAAGAUAAGCUUAAUGAUCUCAAAUUUUGCUUCUUUAUCAAAUUGGCAUUUUUAGCAUCUGUUGAGCUCUUUACGUCGUGAAGUCUUCUGAUGCUCAAUUCCCCCUCCAGGGCCAACUCUUUCAACUCAUCAAUGCCUCCACAACCAAUGUCCUUUCCCACAACAAACAAGCUGAGCUUACGCAAGCACGACAGUUGUCCCAAUCCAACAGGCAUAGAUGCCAGUGAAAUACACUCUCUGAGGUCCAAGUACCUAAGGUUUUUCAAGUGCUUCAUACCUUUUGGUAACAUUUCAAGAUUAUAACACCGUUGGAGAUUUAGUGUCUGCAAGUUAUGAAGGGAGCUUGUUGCUUCAGGUAGAGUUUUCAUAUUAUUAUCAUCAUGAAAGCGUAAAUACCUUAGCUGUUUCAAACUUCCAAAUGCAAUACUGCUAAAACCAUAACCAAAAUCCAACACCUUCAGAUGCUUUUGUUUACUGAUGAAAUGGGAAGGAUUAGAGAGGUUAUCGAUAAAGUCGAACCCGCGACCAACUAUUAAAGAACGCAAUCGUUGCAGUCUGGAUAAGUCCAUAAAGUUUGUUGACGAACUGAUUUUAUGAACAAACAAGUGACGAGCAGUUUUUGGUAUUUUCGACCUCUCAUUAAGAUCAAUUGCGUAGCAUUCAUGACCCGUUCUUGAUGUUGAAAUGCCAUGGAUUAAAUCAUGCAUUUUACAUGUAACAGUUCCAUCAACAUCCUCUUUGAUCUCUUGGAAAAAGGACCUUCGAGUCAAUUCAGAGAAUAUUUCACUACCCAUAUCAUGCAAAUCCAACUGUCCCCGAGAAGGAAUAAAUCCAUUUGCCAUCCAUAGUCCUAUCAGCUCGUCCUUUUCCAUGACAGAAUCCUUAGGAAAUAUUGAGCAAAAUGAAAAGCAUUGUUUCAUAUAUGGUGGAAGAUGCUCAUAACUCAACCUCAACACAGCCAAGAUUCUUUUUCCCUCAUCCUCCAAACCCGAUAUCUCGCUAUCUUUGACACGUAACCAUUCACUUUCUUGACUUUUGGAACGUAGUAUGCUUCCUAUGGCCGCAAUUGCCAAUGGUACCCCUCCGCAUCUCUGCACAAUCUGCCUCCCAAUCAUUUCCAGGUUGACAUUACCCUCAUUCAUUCCCAUUACAAAAGCUCUUUGCUUGAACAAGGACCAAGAUUCAUCAUCUGAAAAACAUCCCAGGCGUUGGAAAGGAUCUGUAGCCAUCAUAAGAGCCACUUUCUCAAGUCGAGUUGUGACAAUGAUUGUACUUCCUCUUCGUCCACUCCGUAGCACUUGCUUCAGCCUAACCCACUUGUCACGGUAUUCAUUCCACACAUCAUCCAAUACAAGCAAAAAUCGUUUCCCAACAAGCUUUUCUCCUAAGUGCCGCUGCAGGGGAUCUAACUCUUGGAUAUCGCAUAACUUCCCUUCAAUGGAUUCCACAAUAGUUUUAGUCAACCGUUUUAUAUCAGAAUCAUCUUGUUCAGAGAUUUAAAUUGCGGUCGCGGUCGCGGACAUAACGAACGCUAUUGCGGUCACUGCGGGUAUCGCGGUCGUGAAUUUUUUUAAAAUUCGCACAACUUAUUGUAAAACAUAGUAAUUAUAAUUAUAAUUAUAAAAAAUCACUUUUAAUGAUUUUUAGAGUGUUUUCUAACACUUAUGAUCUUUUAUUAAUAUGAUAUGAGAACACAACUUUUAUAAUCAUUAAUUAUUCUUACAUUUAUUUACAAAUUUUAUAAGAAUAUUAUAUUAACUAAUAACAAAGUAAAAAAGAGAGAGGAAAUAUUAAACAUUUAUCAUAUUUAAUAAGUUUAAAAGUUUUUAUAGAUAAAACAAUUGAAAAUUCAUACCUGAGAGAUGUCUUCAAUAUUUCUUGACAGUUUUGAAGAUGGUGAAGAUAUAAACAUUGUAUGUUGCAAAAGGAAAAAAAGAAUAGAAAAAUGUAUAGAUUUUCAUUAAUUAUUCCUAUUUUCUACCACUUAUUCUCACUCUCAUUUUACUUUCAUAUAUAAUUUAACAUGCUUCGAUUUUUAAUUAUCUUUUCAUAAAAUAUACUCCAUUCAUUUAUCUAAAGAUAUAUAUUAUUUUAAAUGUUUUAAUAUAAUCAAAAUUAAGAACAAUAACAAAAGUUUUCUUUAAAAAAAACAUACCUUACAAAUAAUGAUAGUGAUACGAUUUAGUUUUCACCAAUUAGUCGAAUGACGAGGAAGAUCAAAUCCUUCACCUUCACUUUGGGAGUGUUCUUGACUUGAUUCUCUUGGCCUUUGUCCAAAAAUAUAUCCAAAAAAAGUAACAUUUUCACCUUGGUUUUCAUUUAAUUGAUAUGGAGGAUAUAUUUGAGGAGGAGGAUACAUGAGAAGUGGAGGUGGGUGAUACAUUGGUGGAGGAGAAUACAUUUGAGGCUGGUAUGGCACACCAUAAUUAGGAAAUGGUGGAUAAUAAUCAUAUGGUUGUGGAUAACCAUGUGAAGGUUGAAAAUAUGAAGGUUGUUCUGGUGGAUAAAAACCUUGAGUGCUAGUAGAUGAAUCACUAUACCCAAUGUUACUAGAACUCGAUCUUCUACCAGAUGAAGAGCCUAUAGAAGUAUGCUUCUUGCCUUUUCCCUUUGAUGGAGCUCUAGGUUCACUUCUAUCUCUCAUAGGUUCAGGAAACAUAUUUCCAUCAAACUCUGAUCUGUCACGAAAAUGUCCACCAGUGGUACCAACCCCAUAUUCUCCUCCAUACUGACUAGAAGACCUAAUUUCACCUCUAUCACCACUAUAUCCAUCAUCCUUAUCAAUUGGACUUAAGCCACCACCAUCGGGUCCAUCGCCACUCUGACUUGGAGUUGAACUAGAACUUGAAUGAGACAAAAUUUGUUGUUGAGAUUGAUCAACAUCCAUUUCAUCAUCAGAGGUAUCCACAGGCAACACAUCGGCAUUUUCACCAUCUAACAAUGGAUACUCUUUCUCAUGAAGCCAUUCUGAUAGUGAAUCAACAUCUUCAAAGAUAUGAUCAAGGCUGAUAGGAUUAAAACUAACAUUUAUAUCAUUAGUGCUCAUUCUUUUUUGAUGCCUCAUCUUAAGCCUCAUAUUAUAAUAGGUAAACACUAGUUUUUCAAGUUUUUUAUACUUUAACCUAUUUCUUGCCUUGGUGUGAAUAUAGCUAAAUGUACUCCAAUUUCGUUUGCAAUUUGAUGCUGAAGUUGUUUGACUAAGGACUUUAAUUACUAAUUUUUGUAAUUCGGGAACACAUGUGUCGUAUAUUAUCCACCACUCAGCUGCGUAAUAUUAUUUAAAUUUCAAAAUAACUUCAAAAUGUACAAUAUAAUUAAAUAAUAUAAUAUAAAUUAAAUAAUUUAAUUAACUGUUUACCCGGAUUCAUUUGCUUCCAAGCUCUUUGUGCCUGUGGAGUACCGAAUGUCUCAUGUUUAUCUCUAAAUAGUAACAACUGCAUAAAUAAAAGAUAGAGUAAAAAUAAAAAUAAAAAUUCUAUUUCAAAUUAUGUAACUAAGUUACAAAUAAUAUAGUACUUGAAUCUAACCUGGUUAACCAUUCUGACUUAGUAUCAAGAGAAGGUUCUAAUCUUUCAAUUACAGAUCUUGUACAUUCUAAUGUUUCUAUUAGUACAUUCUCAGAAUGCUCCACCCCAAAUUGAAAUUGAGGAUUGAGAAAAUAACCUAAGUAUAGUUUAUAAGAAUAUCAUCAAAUAAUAAUCUAAAGCUUAAAAUAAUAAAAUAUAAAAAUAGUUCUUAAUUAUAUGAAACAUUUUAUCUUACCAACUGAAUGCAAGUCGGAAUGCAUAAAAUUCCAUCUAUUGUCAAUAAUCUUUUCAUACUCUGUGAAAUAUCGACAAUCUUGUUGAAUUGCUCGUUUAGCUCUAUCAACAGCCUCAUAAAUAAAGCCCAUCGUUGGUUUUUCAUCGCUAUCCACCAGUCUCAAUACUUUUACUAAUGGCUCGUAAACUUUUAUGAGGUCAUUGGCUUUUUUCCAAAAAUCUUUUCCCAAAACAAUUUUUUUGGCUUCAUAAGCUGGCCCUGACUUUUGCUGUCCCCACUUUGAUUCUUUAAAUUCCUAUAUAUUCAUAAGAAAUAUUUUAAAAUAAUAUAAUUUAAAUUAUUUGGAACUAAUAAAAUCACUAAAGGUUGCUAGAUUUAAGUAAUUAUAUUAACUAAUUAUAAAAUACUGACCUUUGAAUUAAACAUUUCUCUCAGACCUUACUUUUGUCUUGUUAUCUCUUCAAGUUGAAUGAAAUGAGUUGCAAAUCGAGUAAGAGCGGGUAGAAGUAUUUGUUUCCCUUGUGUAUACUUGUUCAUCAAAUCAACAGUCCAAAUGUGAUUGUAUAUAAAGCAAGUCACUUUCUUUGCCUCAUCUAACACUUUUGCUACACUGGGCUUUUUCCCAAUAUCUUCAAGGCAUAAAUCUAAACAGUGAGCUGCACAUGAGGUCCAAUAUAGAUGUUUUCUUUUCAACAUUAAAUUUUUUCCAGUAGCUUUCAUUGCUGCCUCAUUAUCAGUCACUAUUUGGACAAUGUAAUUUUCUCCAAUUUCUUCUACAACUGAAUCUAACAAACAGUAGUAGAAUUUAGCAUCUCUACUACGGACACUUGAGACAUCUACUGAUUUCCAAAAAAUGGUUCCUUUACUGCAAUAAAUAAGGAAAUUAAUGAUGUGCAUUUGAUUCAAACUGUUGGUCCAACCAUCACACAUUAGAGUUGCACCCAAAUCUUUCCAAUGAGUCUUUAGUCCAUUUACCCAAUCACGAACUCGUUGAUACUCUGACUCCAAAUACACAUCUUAAACCUCAUAAGGUGUUGGUAGCUUUACACCUUGUCCAACUUCUGUUGACACUUGAAUUAAGUUAUACAACCAUGGAGAGCUUGCUAAUUGAAAAAGAAGUCUUUCAUAUAUUAAAAAUUUAGAUACCGCUUCACCUAUCUUCCUUCGAAAACUCUUUAAAAAGGAGUUAUUGACCUUUGGUUGCUUUGAACUUUUGCUUCUAACCAAUUUAGGUAUAGCUCCCCUUAAGGUAAACUCAGACUCACUUGGGAUGGAUUUACUUGUUCUUUCUCUAUGAUAUUCUCUAGCUAAUCCUUGAGAAGAUUGCCCUUCUUAUAAAUGUUAUCCCAAGCACCAGUACUUCGUCUGAAUUCUUCCCUUCUAUGCCACUCAUGUUGUGAUUGGAUACUUUCUCGAGUUGCUUGCCUUAUAGCAGAAACCUCAUCAACGAAUUCCUCGUGUUCAUCCUCCUCUUCUCUCAAUUGAGAUAAGAAUUCAUCUUUUCUCCUCUUUUUGUCUACUUUCUUUGUGUUUCCUUCUUUCAGCAAAUUCAUCAUACUUUUUCUAAUGACACCUGUUAAUAAAAUAAAAAUAAUUCACGUUUUAUAUUAUUAUCAAUUAUAUAUAAUCUUUAUUGAUAAAUUUACAAUAACAUUUAAAAAUAAUAAUAAAGUAUCACAUACUAGUAACAUUAGGGCAUGGUGCAACAUUGCCGGUUUUAUGAACAAUGUGCUCUUUAAAUCGUGUUAUUCCUCCUUUCACAACUUUACCACAAAGUUUACGUACGAUAUUUCCUUUCGCAUUUGGCACUGGAGUUCCAAAGUGCCAACCUAUAUCAUUACUUGGUGCACCCUCCAAUCCUUUAGUCGGGAACUCUUCACGUGGUGGCAUGCUUUAUUUUUAUUUAUAUAUAAGAAACAUAAAAAUAUAUUUAGAAAUAUAAGCAACUCAUUUCUUAUAUUAUCAACAAUAUAGUACAAAAAAAGUAAAUAUCAUUAACAAGAACAAUUUAAAUUUAUUGUAUAAUCCAUACAUUAUUUCUUUAUUUUUUUUAAAAAAACAACAAUACACUAUAACCCAUUAUUACUUGGUUCCAAAGUUUUUUGUAUAAAUAGUUUGUUUUGUUCCAUCUUAAUAAAAUUUAAAUUCAAAUUGGACCAAAUUUAAAAAUUCAAAAUUUUCUUAUUAUGCAAACUAAAUUAUAUUUAGAAAUCUUUUUUUUUUUAACUUUCUUAAGUUAAAUCUAAAGUUUUUUUUUCUUUAUUGUGUUAAUUUUGCUAAUAAAUGAGAAGCCUUUCUAAAGCUUCUUCUUCUUCUUUUUUUGUUUUUUCUCUCUCUCUAAUAUGAGAGUAUAAAUAUUUGGGUCAAUGCAAGAUUCUUCUUUAAAUUUUUGGGUUCUUUCAUUUAUAAAUAUUUGGGUCAUGCAAGAUUUUUCUUUAAAUUUUUGGGCUCUUUCAUUUAUAAAUAUUUGGGUCAUGCAAUAUUCCUCUUUAAAUUUUUGGACUAUUUCAUUUAUUGUUUCUAAAUAAAAUGAAUGUUUUUUUUUCUCUUUUUCUUAGAUAUGUUUUACUUUUUUUAUUUACUUGUCAUAUUUAACUAUAAAUUUCAUUGGAAAUUUAACUAUAAAGUACAUUUAUAUUUACUCAAGGGACUUAAGGGGAAAAUUAACUAUAAAGUACAUGUCUUAUUAAAAAUUGUGUCCAGAAAUUUAUAUAUGCAUUUUUAAAUUUAAUAAAGAAAUUUUCUAAUAAUUAUUUUAAGACAAUUUUUAACAAUUGACAGGUGGAUAAAAGCACAAUUUACAUGCCUAUUUUCUAGUGGUUAAAAUGGACGGUGGCUGCCCCUAAUUAAUGAGAUGGUGGCUGCCCCUAAUUAAUGAGUAAAACAAGAGUCAAAGAAGAAACAAAACAGAGCAGCUUAGCAGCAUGCCAAUUGCCAAAUCAAUAAAGCCACAAUCCAAAACAAAAAACAGAAAAAAUAAAAGAAAAUGAAACGAUUCUUUUCUUUCUAAUCUAUUCCCUAAUCCUAACAAGUAACACCCUAACCAGUAGCCUCCAAAGCUCCAAAAGCCUCCAACUCAUCUCAACAAAAAUGGCCGAAUCUUUAUCUCUACUGCUGUUGAAACUUCAAACUUCAAAUGGUGUCCUCAAUAGUCAAUUCUAAAGAACAUAUUUGCACUGCACUGCAGAUUCAAGACAAACAAGCACAAAUCAAGACAAAAUUUCAGGUACUACUUACUUGAAAAUUAUUGAUCUCUGAAGUCUGACAACGCGUUUGGUUGGGGGAAUGCAUGCGUAUUCCCCCUAUGCAGCGGGCACUACUAAAUGGCCGUUUGGUUCGCUGUAACCCCAUUUCGCAUGUAAUCGUUUAUGCCUCUAUGCAUUUAUGAAGCGUAAUAGGUAUUACGCCCCCUCAUCCCCGAUUGCCUAAUCCGUGUUUUCCCUUUUUCUGCUAUUCCAUUUUUUGCCCUCGUCCUCAACAUUCUGACCGACACCUCCUUGCACAGGUAAUUUCUUUUCCCUUCCACUCAGUCCGUCAUCGAUUUAAGUUUAGGGUUUCUUUGAUUUUCUUCAUUUUAUCAAGAAGGGGGAACUGAUUUGCUGUUUUAUUUUCACUAUUCACUAACCUAAAUCGAUUUCCCUUUUCUCAUUUCAGACAUCUUCUUCAUCUCACUCUUCCCCGAUUUGCAUUCAACCAGUUAGUUUUCUAGAGGUUUUUCCAAAGUUUGUAUUGCAUGUUCGAUUGAAAGACAUAAUUUUAGGGCUAAAUAGUUUUAUUACAGAGAAUUGAAGAAAAAAAUUGAAAUAAUUGUAAUCUUUAUUUCGGUUCUUGCCUGUAUUGCAUUAUUUGUUUUAGUUAAUCGAUUUCCCUUUUCUCAUUACAGGUUGUUGUUCAUCGCACUCUUCCCCGAUUUCCCUGGUUACAGGUUAGUUUUCCAGAGUAUCAAAUUCUUUGUUUUUGUUAUGUCUUGGUCUGUUUGGAACUUUCAACUAUAUUUACGCCCCCAUUACUACUUCCAAACCCCAAAUAAUCUCUAAUAAUGAAGUAAAGCCGGUUAAGCUGAAGUGGUAACAACAAAAAGAAGAGUGAAAAUAAAAUUUUAAUUUUCUUUUAAUUGAAGAUAUCCUCCCCAAGUAAAACUCCUCUGCGAUUUGUGAGGAGAAACUUGAGGGGACGAAUCUGCUCUCCCUUGCUAUUGCUACUUAACUGCUUUCGAUCUUUUGUUUUUGUUCUUUGGCAUGCUAAUGAGGUUUAUGAUUGUUUAGAAUUAGACAUAUAUGAUUGUUUAGAAGUAGAGGCAUAGUUUUUAAUAGAACUUAGACCAGAAGCUGUCAUUAGCUCUCCAAAGGCUCUGAAAUCUGAAAUCAAAUUCCAAACAAAUAUUAUUUACGUAAUUUUAGUUGUUGUUGCGUCUUGGUUUGUUUGGUCUAUUUAUAUUUUGUUGUUAGUAAUGCUCUGCUCUUUUGGCUAGAUUUUGUUCAGUUUGCUUAGCUUAGGUGGAAUGGUGUUGGGUUUGAUAGAUAUCUUACAUCUGAUACAUGGAAGAUUGCUGUUUCUUUUCCUUUCUUAUGUAAUCAAAGUUAAUAAGCUUCUACUUUAUUGAUGUUUAUACCUUGUGCGCUUCGUGAAUUCUGGUUUAACCUCUAAAAUCUGCUUCUAAAAUUGUGUCUUGUGCUAAACUUCUUCUAAAAUCAGAGUCUGAUGUUUAUACCUUGUGCAUUUCGGAUUCCAAAACUUUUGAACGCCAGGCUUAACUGUAGACUUGAGGUAGUGAGCAAUUACGGCUUUGUUUUCUAAGUUAGCUUAAUGACUGAUCCAGACUUGUGAAUUGCCAUUUAAAUUCAGACAGUUUUGUGAUACUCUGCUGUUGUUUGAAAGAGUUUACAAUGGAAAAUGUUGUUAGUGUUGUUUUUUCAAUUCAGAUAUUAGCUUCUUGUUGUUAGUGACUAGAAGAUGAAACUGGAAAUUGUUGCGUCUGUUUUGAUAUUGUUCUUGAUAUGUUCUAGUUCCUGCUUGUUUUGGGGAUUAUUAAUUGCAAGUAUGGUAGGAUGUAGUUCUGUUAUUCUUUAGAUUUUGAAAUGAAAUGAUGUAAAUGAGUUACUUGAGCUAGAGGUAGAUAUUCGAUUAAGGGUUAAUUAUGUUGUUUUCUAUUAAAGACUCAAAUAAUUAUUGAAUUAUUUUACAAGGAUUUUUUUAGAUAAUAAGCUCUCUGUUUUUAAAUUUGUAUCAACAAUCAAAUUUCAAUUUUGAUGCUUAUAUGAUGUCCAAAUUUAAGAUUAAAUCUUUAUAUUUUAAUUUUUAAUAUAAUUUGGUACAUCAAUAUUAGCCUAGAUACUUUAACCGAUUAAAAUGCUAACGCAAAUUUUUAUACUUGAUAAUAAUAUUCAAAUUUCUUAUUUAAUUAGAAUUGAUUAUAAUAUUAUUUUCAAAGAAAUUAUCAAAUUAUAAAAUAACACUCAAUUGACAUAAUUAUUCAUAAAGAGUUUAUUCCUUUUCAAAUGUGUAUAAUGUUAAUUACUCAUGUUUUUGUUGCAUCAACUGAGAAAAUGUUCUCAAAAUUAAAAUUGAUAAAAUCUUACUGAAGAUUAACAAUAUCUCAACAAAAAUUAAAUGAAUUAGCUAUUUUAUUAAUUGAAAAAGAUAUCUUAAUUGAGAUUUAUUAUAAUAAUUUUGCAUCUCUAAAGUCUAAAAAAUAAAUUUUAAAUAAACAUUUAUAAUGUUUAUUUAAUAGUUAGUUAACUAAUUUGAAGGUCUAAUUUUACAGUUUCCCUUUUUAAGUUUUUAGAAAUGUUGAGACACAUUAGGUAAAUAUAUUAACAAUUUAAGUUUUGAUAAUGUGUAAUUGCAACUUCAGGGGAUUGAUACUGAGUUCUAAUUUUAAUAUGUUGCAGUAAUGGCUCGUCUGCCUUUAAUUGCACAAAGUGUGAGGCGUAAAAGAAUUGGUGUUGCAUUGACAAUAUGGUUGGAAAUCUGUAGAAUUGCGAUUUGGUUCUUAUUUAGAAUGGGUGCCAGCCUUAGCCUACAUACUUAUAGACCAAGGAUUAGGUCUUAUACCUUAGAUUUUUAUGCAAAACGGGAUUAUGUGAAAAGGCUUGUAUAUGCUAGUGACGAGACCUGUAUUGAACUAGUUAGGAUGAAUAGAACUACCUUUUUUAAACUAUGUCAGAUGUUAGAAUCGUUAGGGGAUUGAAGUCGUCAAGAAAUAUGCUUGUUGAUGAGCAAGUGGCAAUGUUUUUACAUAUCAUCUCCCAUCACCUAAAAAAUUGAGUUAUCAAGCAUCACUUUACUAGAUCCGGGGAAACAGUUAGCAGAUCAUUUCAUAGUGUUUUAAAUGCUGUCAUACGCUUACAAGAUGUGUUAUUUGAAAAGCCAGAGCCAAUUACAGCUAAUUCUUCUGACACAAGGUGGAAAUGGUUUAAGGUAUUGGACUGAGUUGUAUAUAUAGCUUGUACAACAUUUAGUUGAUUUAGAUUUAAAUUUAGCAUUCUAACUCAAGGUUUUAUAUCAUGUGGUAUAGAAUUGCUUAGGUGCUCUUGAUGGAACCCACAUCAAGAUUAGGGUUCCAACAGUUGAUAAACCUAGAUAUCGAACGCGAAAAGGUGACAUAGCAACAAAUAUGCUAGGUGUUUGCACACCUGAUAUGCAAUUUGUUUAUGUUCUUCCUGGUUGGGAAGGUUCUGUUGCUGAUGGACGGGUUCUUCGAGAUGCCAUUAGUAGGAGACAUGGACUAAAAGUUCCUCAUGGUAAAAUGGAUUGUUAUAGGACUUUGAAUUAUUCAUUAAGAUCAAACUUUUUGUGCUGAAUUAAUCAUUUAAAAAAUUUAUAGGUUGUUAUUAUCUAGUUGAUGCCGGAUACACAAAUUGUGAGGGAUUUCUUGCACCUUUUAGAAGACAACGAUAUCAUUUGAACGAGUGGCGUCAGGGUUAUCAACCAAGUUCUCCGCAAGAGUUUUUUAAUAUGAAACAUGCCUCAGCACGUAAUGUUAUUGAAAGAUGCUUUGCGUUAUUAAAAGUUAGAUGGGGAAUACUUAGGAGCCCAUCAUUCUAUCCUAUAAGGGUGCAUAAUAGAAUUAUUAUUGCAUGUUGUUUGCUCCAUAAUUUUAUUCGAACCCAUAUGAGUAUUGAUCCUAUUGAAGCGGAUGUGGGAGAAAGAUUACCUAGUAAUGUGGUGGAUGACGAUGAACCGAAUAUCGCAAAUAUUCAUCCAUCGGAUGCUUGGGCUACUUGGAGGAUGGAACUAGCCAACCAAAUGUUCAAUGAAUGGCAAGCAUUUAGAAAUUAGUUAGGUUUAGGGACAAAUUGAGUUUGACUUAAUUUGUUGAUGUUAUUUUAUGUAUCUAGUUUGUGAAACUUUGGUGGUGUUUGAAUUGAUUUCUGUAUUGUACUAAACUUGUUGAAUUAUAAUUUAAUUUCUUUUCAUUCAGCAUAUGUUAUAAUUUUAAAUUUUAGUAUUGAGCUUUUGAUUCAUGAUAUUGAACUAACGAUAUAAUUUUAUAAUCUGUUCACCUUUUGAUUCAUGAUAUUAAAAAUAGUAAAUAAUGUUAAUUUGUUUUUUUUUCUUAAGAUAAUUAUGUCAGGUGUUCCACAAUCACAUACUUCUUCUUAAGCUUCUCGAGGAACCAAAAGAAAAUGGGUUCCAGAAGAAGAUGCAACCUUGGUUUCUUGCAUGGUGGACUUGCACAAUGUUGGAACAUUUAAUGCUGAUACCAGGUUCAAAGCCAGUUAUUUAAAUGAGUUGGAAAAAAUGCUAGAAAAGGCUUUACCAAAUGCAAUGUUGAAGGCGAAACCAAAUAUUGAAUCAAGGAUUAGGUUACUAAAAAGGGAAUGGUCAAUCGUCUAUGACAUGCUUAAUGGCCAAAACAAUAACGAUUUUGAUUGGGACGAGCAUAGGCAGCUCGUUGUUGCUGAAGAUGCAGUUUGGGACUCCUAUUUAAAGGUAAAAUGUAUUUCAAGUCUUUAUUAUCUUAUUUUUACCAAACUUAUAACUAAUAUGAUUUCCUCAUUUUUUUUAGAGUCACAAAGAAGCCGCUCAAUUCAAACAUCGUACUUUCCCUUACUACAACCAACUUACUACCAUAUAUGCAAGAGAUCGAGCGACUGGGAAAGAUGCUCAAACAGCUGCUGAUGUUCUUGAAGAAAUAAAUGCUGAGGAUCUACCUACUACAGAUAUGAAUGAAGAGAGAAACACAUUCUAUGUCUGCGAAUCUGACAUCUCUUUGGACGACAUGAAUGUUUCUGGUACGAAGUCGCGAGGAGAUAGAGACCAAAGGGGUUCCUCAUCUUCAAACAAGAAAAAGAAGAAAUAUGAUGCUCGUGAUAAUAUGUCUUCUUAAUUUAAUGAGGCUGCCACUUGAUUGGCCAAAAACAUGUGGGCCAUGGGCGAUCAAAUCAGUAGGAGUAUUGCCUCCGAUGUGAUAGUUCAGCAGAAGUCUGAAGAAUUCCAGAUCAUCCAAGAGAAAGCUACAAAUUUAUAUUCAACCUUAUGGGAAACUGAAGGUUUAACCGAUGAUAAGCGGUAUCGAGCUUUGAGUAAAAUUCCAGAUCAUCCAACUCAAAUGCUCGUUUUGUUAGUUUACCUUCUGCUGCGCGAAUGGAAUGGGUCAGAAGAUUUCUUUCUAACCAUUAAAAAUCAAUGUUUAAACUUUUUGAUGUUGUAAAACUAUAUAACAUAUGUAUUAUGUUGUAGAAUUUUAUUUUCUUCUAACAUUUUCUUAAUAUAAGUUAAUUAUGUUUAUGCAGAAUAUAAUUCUCAAGUUAUAUUAUGAUUUUAGUAAAUUCAUAUAAGAAUAUUUAUUAUUAAAAAUUUUAUGAAUUAUAUAUCAUUAUUAAAUAAUAUUUAAUAUUAAUUAUUUUAAAUUAUAAAUUCAUAUAAGAAACUUUAUUAUCAAGAAUUUUAUGAAAUUAUAUAUCAUUAUUAAAUUAUAUUUAAUAUUAAUUAUUUUAAAUUAUAUAAAUUCAUAUAAGAAAAUUUAUUAUCAAGAAUUUUGAACGAGUAUAUAUCAUUAUUAAAUUAUAUUUAAUAUUAAUUAUUUUAAAUAUAAAUUCAUAUAACAAAAUUUAUUAUCAAGAAUUUAUGAAAUUAUAUAUUAUUAAAUUAUAUUUAAUAUUAAUUAUUUUAAAUUAUAUAAAUUCAUAUAACAAAGUUUAUUAUCAAGAAUUUUAUGAAAUUAUAUAUCAUUAUUAAUUAUAUUUAAUAUUAAUUAUUUUAAAUUAUAUAAAUUCAUAUAACAAAAUUUAUUAUCAAGAAUUUGAUGAAGUUAUAUUAUUAUUAAAUUAUAUUUAAUAAUAAUUAUAUUAAAUUAUACAAAUUCAUAUAAUUAAAUUAUAUUUAAUAAUAAUUAUUAUUUAAAAUUUUAUUAAAUCAUAUAUUUUAAUUAAAAUAUAUUUAAUAAUAAUUAUUUCAAAUUAUAUUUUAUACUAUCAUAUAUUAUGAUUUUAGGAAAUUCAUAUAAUAAUAUUGAUUAUUAAGAAUUUUAUUAAAUCAUAUAUUUUAAUUAAAAUAUAUUUAAUAAUAAUUAUCUUAAAUUAUAUUUUAUGGUAUCAUAUAUUAUGAUUUGAGUAAAUUCAUAUAACAAUAUUGAUUAUUAAUAAUUUUAUUAAAUUAUAUAUUUUAAUUAAAAUAUAUUUAAUAAUAAUUAUGUUAAAAUAUGAUUAAAUUAUUUAUUACUGAUUUGAAUAAUCUUAUUAAAAUUUAAUAACAAUAACAAUAAUCAUUUAUCUAAACAAAUUUCUGCUAAGGGCAUUUUAGUCAUUCUAGUUUUUUUCCUUAUGCUAUUACACCUCCAUUCCAUUCAACCAAACACAAGAAUACUAUUACGCAUCUAUUCCAUUACAUUUAACCAAACAAUUGAUUUGCUAUCACGCCUCUAUUCCAUUACGCCUCUAUUCCAAUACAGCGAACCAAACGUGCUGUGAAUGUGCAAGUGAUUAGGGCAGGCCGGCAGGGUUUGCUUUUCAGAUUCAAGUCCUCGGCAGUCGGCUCCUCCUUGCUUUCAUCUGCUGCUUGUUGUUUGCCCAUAUAUAAGAAACAGAACUUCAUAUUUCUUUUUCUAUUGCUUUUUUAAAACUUUUGAUUACUUUUUUCUGUUUUUUUGACUUCUUUUUACUUUUUUUGAUUGAAAGUUCUCUGAUUUUGCACUUUGUAGGUAGGGGAAUAUAUUCCCUUUUGUUUUUCACUGUUUUUGUUGAUAUUUUUGUUUGAGGGGAUGACUUUUUUUAAUUUACUGUAACGGAAAAUAACGGGAAUAGCGGCCCGUUAUUGCCGCAUUUGGCCGUUACCUGUUAAAUUGCGGCUGCGACCCACCGUUAUUGGCGUGACUCCGCUUCACACUGCUAUUUUCAGUAAAAGCGGUUUCGGACGGUGCCGCUAUCGCUAUAUAACGGCUGCUAUUCUGAUAUCGGACCGCUAUUUGAAUCCCUGGUCUUGUUGACUCCAUUUUUUUGAUAAAAUGGGGUCGACUUGGGUUUUUUUUUAAAAAUGAACAUGAAUACGGGAGUCGCCACCGAUCAUUUUUAUGAGGUGUGAUCGGGUCACCUUGAAGAGUGGUUGUUUUUAAUAAAUGAUUUAAUUUAUCAAAACAACGAUUUUGGUCCACGAAAUUUAGAAAGACAGGUUCCGGAGUCGGUUACAUAUGGGGAAGGAUUAGCACCCUCGUAACGCCCAAAAUUGGUACCUAGUUGAUUAAUUAAUGUCUUAGUGUCGAGAAUUGAAAACUCUUGAAGAGAUUAAAAAUACGAUCCUUUGUCAAAUGUUGAAACUUUUUCGAGAAAAGAGCAUAUUUCAUGUUAAUCGAGAAAGAGAAUUAUAUCCAGUAAGUUAGGACACAAUGUCUUGAAUUCUCGAUGCGCGAAUGAAUGCUAAAAACUUACUUAUUUAAAAAAUAUUUAGCUAUCUCGGAUUUUAAAAAAAGGAUCAUGCCCAGUAAGUUAGGACACGAUCUUUUAUUAAUUCCCGAGAUCGUUUAAAAACUUAAAUUUGAAAAGAUUCGUGUAUUUAGAUUUAUCGCGAAAAUCAAAACCCCGUAAGUUAGGGUACGACCUUCUCGAAUCUAAACACGAAAUUUUGCUUAUUCAAAAGUCAUAAUUUAAAAGGAUAUUUUGCUAUUUAGGUUAAAUGGGAAAUCGAACCCAGCACGUUAGGGCACGUUUUCUUCAAAUUUCCAAACGCAAAAUAUUGCCUUAUUUAGAGAUUUUUUUUAAUUUGGAUAAAAGGAAAUGAAAUGCUUAAAAAUGUACGUUUAAUUUAUUAGGUUUUUUAGAGAAAUCGUUUAAUACGUAAAAGGAGUUAUACGUGGCUAAAUACGAUAGUAUGAAAUAUAUUCAAGGCAACAAAUGCAUGAUAUCGCAUAAUAUGAAAACAUACGGGCAAUUUACUAAAAAAAGCCUAAUUUUUUUUAAAUUUACCGAAAUGGGUUCGGUAUUUUAUUAUUUACCGGAAUGGGUCAUUUUCCCCGAAAUCACGUCCACGUCAGCGCAAUGUCAGGGUACGUGCCAGCAAAUCACGGCCACGUCAGCGUGCUUUGCUGACAUGAUAACAAAUCACGCUUCAAAGGAAGCGAUUUGUGUCUACGUCAGCAAAUCGCGUUGACGUGGCCGCGAUUUGCCCCGCGUAUGAACAGUGUAACGGUCAAAAAAUUGACCGUUGCCCCCCCAACGGUAAAAAAAGAAAAAUAUAAAUACCCCCACCCUUUUUUUUUCACAAACUAAUCCUAUCUCAAAUUUCCUCUCAAUUUAUUCUAAAUUUUCUCUAAUUUGCUCUCAAAUUCCUUCAAAAUUUCUCUCAAAUCCAUAUUUAUUUUCAAUUUACUCUCAAGUUCCUCCUAAAUUUCUCUUAAAUCCCUAUUUUUAAAUAAUUUUAAAUUUUUCAUUUUUUAAAUUUUUUUUAAACCGUAAAAAUUUGUACGAUUUCAGCAAUGGCCGGAGAAUUGACUCGUCUUGAUAAGCAUCACAUAUCGGUGGAACAAAUGAAAAUGGUAAGCGUUAAAUUUAAUUUUUAAAUAUUAUUUAAGAAUUUUUUAUUUAUGUAUUUUUAGAUAAUUAUUAAUUUAUUAUUUGUUAUAAAAGUCUGUAGAUCGGAUAUUGGAAUGCAAUAUCCGGAAUAUGCAUGCUCCUCCAUCACCGUUGGUAGAGAACUACCUGCGGGAAGCGGGUUUUUGACUCGUGACGACGGUAGGUCGAGGAUGCAAGGUGGACCCGAAACUAAUUAGUGCGUUUUUCGAGAGGUAGAGACCCGAGACGCACACAUUCCAUUUUCCAUGUGGAGAGUGCACUAUCACUUUGGAAUAUGUCAGUCUGCAAUUGGGAUUGCCGGUGGAUGGGUACUCAGUCACCGGGUCUGCCCAAUCUAGCGAUUGGCUUGCGAAGUGCUACGAGCUUUUGGGCGCUAUUCCGGAGAAAAUGGAGGGAGCUAAGAUCGAGAUGGGCUGGUUACGAGACACAUUUCCGGAUCCGGAUAAAGAUUCAACCGAAAUAGAAAGAAUACGAUAUGCUCGGGCAUACAUUCUUCAGUUAAUUGGAGGUUAUCUGAUGCCCGACUUGUCACGGAGCCGUGUACAUCUAAGAUGGCUGCUGAAACUCGUUAUUUUUAGAGCAGCUGGUGAAUUGAGUUGGGGGUCUGCCGUCUUGGCAAAGUUAUAUAAGGAGAUGUACGGGGCAACGCAACCGAGGAAAGCAAAAAUCGGAGGUUGCUUGUCCCUACUGUAGUCAUGGGCACGGUUUCGCUUUCCAUUUCUACGUCAUCGAGUGGACCACCCAUAUACAUUCCCACUGAUAAUGAGGUAAAUUUUAUAUUAGAUUUUACAAUUAUUAUGUAGAUUUUUAAAAAUAAAAGUAUGCUAAAAAUUUAUUUAAUUAGGUGAAACCAUCCGGCAAGUCAUGCUCGAUUACCUACCUCUCUUGAAGACAUACGACUUCUAUUAGACCAACAGUCGAAAACACAUGUAAGUAUUAAAUAAAAUUGAUAUUUCCAUCAUUCGCUAGUCGAUUGGUAUUUAGUAUUUAGUAUUAUGUAUAUAACUAACAUUUCUAUCAUGUUCAUAUAGUUUCAAUGGACACCAUACGAGGAUCCGGCAAUUCGGGCAAUAAUUUUGGAAGAAAUCUUACAAAAUCCAAAUGCUUGGUAGGCGAAAGUCGCGUUGAUCAACUACGCGACUGUGGAGAUGCACCAGUCAGAUAGGGUGUUACGGCAAUUUGGAUGUAGACAACCGAUUCCCGUGGAACUUGAGGUGUUUGACGAUCACCACAAAAUCGACCUUCGACAAUUGAAUAUGGAUUGGCUGAAAUUCUUGUCUGAGUACAUCCAAAUGUGGGAAGAUCAGUAUGACUAUAUACCUAGUAUGGAACCGAUCAUCGAUUCGGAGUUAGCGUGCGUGCCGGAAUACAUGCCAUGGUUUAGGAUCCAUGGCAAGUCGUAUUUACUAUCACCAGAGGAGAGGCAGCAGCAAUUACGUGUCCAAAGGGAAAGAUGCGAUCCUUUAAAUCCAAGACGACAGGACGACGACGUUGGCCCCUCAAUGAUGCCCAGACAUUCACCCGGCCCAACGAGAGCACCGAAACAUUCACCCGACCCAGCAGUUCAACCAAUGAUACCCACGCAACCGCCUUUUCAGAUGAUGCCGGGUGCAUUUCCUAGUCGUUUUAUGUAUCCUAAGCCUUAUAUUUUUCAUUUUUCGAGUCCUAUGACAGGUUGGAGCCAAUGGCCCGGUUCAGCUCCAAUUCCUGUUAUGCCGAGUGGACCGCCGAUAUAUAGGCCAGCGACGCACGAGGGAUCGCAAGAGGGGCCGUCGGGGAGCUUUUCUUUUCACCAAUCCCCACCACCGUAUGGGUUUCAAACACCGUCGCCGUUGGUGAUGCAAACACCUCCACAUUCACAAUUCUAUCAAGGUGGCUCAUCGUCCCAACUCCGACAACCAGAUGCCCUACUGGAAGAACCAGAAUCCCCACCGGAAGAACCACAAUCGCCGCCAGAAGCUGGACAAAUGAGGAAUCCAGCGCGUAACCAUCGACGGCCGCUAUGUGGCAUUGAAUCUCGCGGGCACAGACAUUGAUUUUUGUAUUUAAAUUUAUUUGUACAAAUAUUUUGACUAUUUUGAUAUUUUUUGAUGUAAUAAAAUAAAAAAUUUUUUGAGUUAUUACUUAAAAACCCUAAACCCUUAACUUAUUAAUAAUUUAGAAAUUUAUAAUUUAAAAUUAAAUGCAUAAUUUAAUUGACAAACCCUUAAACCCUUAACCCAAAAACCCUAACUCUUAACUUUAAAACCCUAAACCCUUAAGCUAAAAAUCAUAAACCCUUAAAUUAAAAACACUAACCUAUAAAUUCAAAACCUUAAACCUUUAAAUUAAAAACCCUAACCCUUAACCUGAAAACACUAACCCUUAACUUUUAAACCCUAGACUCUUAACUUAAAACCCUUAAACCCUUAACUUAAAAACACUAAUCCUUAAAUUAAUAACCCUUAACCCUUAACCAAAAAACCCUAACCCUUAACCUAAAAACCCUAAAUCUUAACUUUAAAACCCUAGACCCCUAACUUAAAAACCCUAAACCCUAACCUUUAACCUGAAAACCCUAAACCUUAACUUUAAAACACUAGACCCUUAACUUAAAAACCCUAAACUCUUAACUUAAAAACACUAACCCUUAACUUAAAAACCCUAAAGUCUUAACCUAAAAACCUUAACCCUUAACCUAAAAACCCUAAAUCUUAACUUUAAAACCUUAGACCCUUAACUUAAAAACCCUAAACCCUUAACUUAAAGCAUUAACCCUUAAAUUAAAAACCAUAAAACCUUAACCUAAAAACCCUAACCCUUAACCUAAAAACCCUAAACCUUAACUUUAAAACCCUAAACCCUUAACUUUAAAACCCUAAAUCCCUAAAUUAAAACCCUAACCUUUAACCUAAAAACCCUAAACCUUAACUUUAAAACCCUAGACCCUUAACCUAAAAACCCAAAACCCUUAACUUAAAAAUCCUAACCCUUAACUUAAAAACCCUAACCUUUAACCUAAAAACCCUAAACUUUAACUUUAAAACCCUAGACCCUUAAUUUAAAAACCCUAAACCCUUAACUUAAAAGCACUAACCCUUAAAUUAAAAACCCUAAACCCUUAACCUGAAAACCCUAAACCUUAACUUUAAAACCUUAAACCCUUAACUUAGAAACCCUAAACCAUUAACUUAAAAACUAUAACCCUUAAAUUAAAAACCCUAAACCCUUAACCUAAAAACCUUAAACCUUAACUUUAAAACCCUAGACCCUUAACUUAAAAAGCCUUAACUUAAAAACCCUAACCCUUAACUUAAAUAUAAUUUGACAAUUUUACUAACAUUAAUACAAUUAUCAGUUAAUAAUUUUAUAUUCACAUAAUGUUAGAUUUAGAAAAAUGUUUUGACUGGUACUAAAAAUUAAUAAUUUGAUUUAAUUUGAUAAUUUUACUAACAAUUAAUACAAUUAUCAGUUAAUAAUUGAAAAAAUAUAAUUUUUUAAAAUUACAUUCAACUAUUGCGAUUAGGGCAUGAUUGACUUGUAUGGCCUGGAUUCCUACACCAUCCGCACAACUUAUGUUGACUGGCUAUUUCUGGGAUAUCCAUAUUGUUAUGUAUUCUAGUCGAGUAAGGUCGACCCUUUGGUUUACGACACAAUUCUCUAUCCGGUAACAGCUUAAAAGGAGCAAGAGAUACGGGCGGCCACUUACGUUCAUCUGGGACCGGUGGGAAAACGUGUCUCCAGAUGUUGUACAUGUUUUCUAAUUUGUACACUUCGUCCACAUAACUUAUUGGAUCCAGACGGAGAUUCUGACCAGCUGCAAUAACAUGAGCGCAUGGAUAAUGAAGUGCAUCAAACAUCCCACAGUCGCAAGUCCUAUUUCGCAAGUGUACACGAUAUUGCCCACCAACAACACCUUGGUGCGGUCUGUCAAACUCUGUCAUGCGAAACCAUAAGUUGUCUCGAUCAUGACACAUUGUGUGCAUGGUGUUUGCCCGCGCCUUGGCCUCGUUAAUUUCUUGAACUUCCUUACUGCACCAUACAUGUCCUCCCUGCAUCUGGCCUGCAUAACUUGCUGCUCGCUUUGGAAAUAGCACCACCAAACGAAAAUAUAUCUCUCACACAACCGAUAUUAUCGGUAGAUGAUGCGUUCCUUUAAGAAUAGAAUGUAUGCAUUCAGCCAGGUUUGACGUCAUAUGGCCAUAUCGUAGGCCGUCGUCGUAUGCUUGUGCCCACUAUUCGAAACGCAUGUUACAAAGGUAGUCCGCCCUUUAUCUGUUAAUUGAACGUAAAGUUGCCAACAUCUCGUGAAAAUGAUCUUUAUUUAUUUCAUACCCUGCCAAUAUAAGUUCAUAGCGAAUAUUACAUACCACUUCUACCAAUAAAACUAAUUCAAAUUGAGAAAUUAAAUAACACAGAUAUAGGCUAAAUACCCAUGUCGGUCACUUAUCGUCGUUCGCUCUUAGAUGGAUAUUGCCUGUAGUAGUUGGAAGCAACGUGUCUUAGGCAAUAUUGAUGGUGUGUGUGCUACCAUAAGCUUCCCUAUCGAUCAAAUGCAGCUAGUAUACUGGCCCCUCGAUCUGAAAUAACACAUAUAUCAGGUUAGGGGCACACAUGCCUCCUUAACCUAGAGAGAAAGAAAUCCCAGUCAUCAGACAACUCCUCCGGUGUUAUUGCAAAUGCAAUUGGAAGAAUUCGCCCACCGCCAUCCUGUACCACUGCAAGAAAUAGCCGAUGAGUAUACCUACCAAACAUAAAGGUACCGUCAAUUUGUAUCAAUGGCUUGCAGUAUGGAAAUACGUCUCGGCAUUGUUUAAAGGUCCAAAACAGGCGUUUAAACACUUGGCAUCCACGUAGCAAUCGGCCAUUGUAGUACGCAUGUUUCGUUUCAAGGUCUGUGAUGGUACUUGGGACGUAUCUCUCUAGCACUUGACACCACUGCCAUAUUUCAUUAUAUGAGGCGUCCCACCCAUUAUGCAUCUUCUUCAACGCCUUUUGCUUAGCUAUCCAAGCCUUGCGGUAAGAGGGCGUGUACCCUAUUUGGCUACGGAUAUUGACAAUUAACACCGGAACUGAAGUCUUGGAUCUGCUUUUACUAUGGGCAGUAUCAAGCUAGCUAACAUAGCUGAAUCCAUCUUCGGAUGAUCUUGUGAAACACUUAUAAACGGAGUACAUUAAAUAAUGCAACAUUACAUAAUAAAAGUAUUAUUCAGAUACCGUUAAUACUGUACCUGCAGCACAUGUAUGUGGACCUUUGUACUUUUUAAUCUCCCACAACCCUGUCCUUUUCCUUAACGAAGCGUAGAUUUUCCAUGAACAUGUGCCAUCUUGCACCGUACACUUCGCCUCAAACUUAUCAGAUUUGGAUUUAACGACGUGGUAGUUAACGCCGUUUUUAAUGCUAUGUUGUUUCAAAGCACCAAUAAAACUAUCCUUGUUGGUAAAAUGAUUACCAACUUUAAAUUCACCCGAAUCUAGCCCUGAACUUGUAUGAUUACGUAACCGGUGUGGUAGAUCUAAAAACUCUAACGCAUCAUCUGCAGACAGAUCGACAUUAUUCAUGUGGGCUGGAGGUGAGUAUGCUCUGAAUCGUGGAUUUUCUUAUUCAUCUGAACUCUUUUCAACAUCUUCAAGUUCUGUUGGAAUAGGCUCCGGUUCAGAAAAUAAGCCAACUUCUGCACCAUCGGGCCCGGGCUCUCGAAGUGGAUCCAUAUUGGAGUCAUCUUCUAACCCACGAUCAUCUGCAGCGUAUGAGGUCCCCUCACCGGUUGACGUCGUAGGGAGUACAUCAUCCCUUCUUCUGGGCAUUUCAUAACGUCCCCUAUUGGAUGUAGGUUGCCAACCACUAGAACUUGAUGCCGUUCCCCAAUACUUAUUUCCAGCAUCAAACAUCGAGCCACCAACGUACAUGUCCCAUCCACCAACAGAGUAUCUUACGGGGGAUGUGCAUUCAACAUCGCUACCAAACAUAGGCUGUUCCGUGUUUUCUAACCCGCUUACCGAAUGUCGGCCAGGGGUCGUGUAUACAUCUCGAACACCGGUCAUAAGUACAUCAUUUGGCGAUAUAAAUUGUACAUAUAACUCAAUAUAAGGUGCUCCACUAGUAAGAUGAGUCUGCACCAUUGCCUUCAAGCUACGAGCACCUUUUAUGUUGAACGAGUCAUAUGUCACCAGAUCAACAGAGGAACAAAAUCGAUACGUAAUAGACAGAACUUUCAUUGGCGUCGUUCUGAAAAUUUUACGCCUAAUUCUUUUACGAAGUUUUGUCAAAUCUAUGUUCUGGUUAAAAACCAGUCGCACCGUAUUUUUCGACAAAGAAACAACACCAUUCUCGGUGUGGCAAACCUCACCAUCGUAGUAAAUAACAGCACUAAUACGUUUACUCAUAUUUGAAACUCUAACCUUUUUAGCCUCUCUAAAUUGUUUCUGCUGUGACUUAUGCAAUCUCAGAACAUUUUUUGCCUCAUUUAUAGCCUCAUCCCAAACAUGUUACUAUAGCAAAAGCGCGUCCACGUGGGCGCGAUUUCAUAAAUUCUUCUCAUAAAGCAUCCUGCUAGAAGCGAUUUUAUACUAUUUGUUCAGAAACGUCAAGUCGAAAUUAUUUUUCCAGGACCAGCUGUAGCAAAAGCGCGUCCACGAUGGCGCGAUUUCACAAAUUCUUCUCAAAUAGCAUGCUGCUUACAGCGUUGUUUUAUACCAUUUGCUCAGAAACGUCAACUCAAAAUUAUUUUUUCAGGACCUACUGUAGUAAAAGCGCGUCCACAUGGGCGCGACUUCACAAACUCUUCUUAUAAAUCAUUCUGCUUGAAGCGUUUUUAAACUAUUUGCUCAAAAACGUCAACUCGAAAUUAUUUCUUCCAGGACCAACUGUAGUAAAAGCGCGUCCACGAGGGCACGAUUUCACAAAUUCUUCUCACAAAGCAUCCUACUUGAAGCAUUUUUUAAACUAUUUGCUCAGAAACGUCAAGUCGAAAUUAUUUUUCCAGGACCUAUUGUAGCAAAAGUGCAUACAUGUGGGCGCAACUUCAAAAAUCCUUCUGAUAAAUCAUCCUGCUUUGAUUUUAUCUUAAAAACCCAUAAACAUGAAACGUAAUCCAAUUUUGAAUAAAUUUUAAUUAAUUUAAUUACGAAACCCUUAACCCUAAUCCCUUAUUUGUUUACUUUUUUCUCCAAAAACCCUAAAAAUCUUAAAAACCCUAACGUGGGAGACACAGCAAAAUCGCGUCCACGUCAGCGCGAUGUUAGUGUACGUGCCAGGAAAUCACGGCCACGUCAGCGCGCUUUGCUGAUGUGGACACAAAUCGCGCUUCAGAGGACGCGAUUUGUUGCCAUGUCAGCAAAGCGCACUGAUGUGGCUGCAAUUUCCUGGCACGUACCCUGACAUCGCACUGACGUGGACGUAAUUUCGGGGAAAAAGGCUCAUUCCGGUAAAUAAUAAAAUACUGGGCCCACUUCGGUAAAUUUUAAAAAAAUUGGCUUUUUUGGUAUUUUGCUCAAAACAUACGGUAUUGAUAGCUACGAAUCACAAUAUUAACAUACACAAACGAAGACAAUAAUAAGAGUACAAAUAAAAAUAUGGGGAACAAUAAUAAAGAGAAUAAUAACAAUAUAAAUAAUAAUAUGGAGAAUAAUAAGAGUGAUAUAGCAAAAAUAAGAGUAAUAAAUAACAAAACAAAUAAUCAAUAAUAAAUAAUAAACAAAACGUGAAAACAAAAUAAAGGAAAUAUUACAUACAUAAAGUAAAUUAAUAAGGCAUUUGAUUUUUAUUUUCAUUUUUUAAAAGAAUUAAAAAAUAAAUAAAAAUAACACACAUUUUUUUAAAAAAGGAUGAUAAAAAUGAAUUUAAUGGUUCCAAGACCGAAUUGGAAUUAAAACAAAAAUUAAAUGGGCAAACCUAAAAAAGGAAAGAGCAAUUUGGGGCCCGAACGAAACGUGCCCAAAUAUGUAGGGGCCAAAUGGGAAAUUAUUCCCCAGCCCUUGAAGUGCGCCGUUUCGUAAUGGGUUAAAAUGGAAUGGGAAUAAAAUCAUAGGCAAAUUUAAAAAAAGCUGAAAGGACGUUAUUGAAAUUCAAAUAAAAUUUAGAAGGGCCAACCGAAAAAAUAACCCCUUUUACUCGGCCCAACACGACAUUGUUUAGGGCGUUAAAGUCUGCACAUGGUCUAAGGACCAAAUUAAAACGUAAGCAAAAUUUAAGGCUGAAAUCAAAAAUAAAUAAAUAAAUAAAUAAAAAUGAACACGUUAAAAAAACGGAGGGACUUAAUGCGAAAAUAGCCCACUUUUGUUUCAGAACACGCAGACCUUUAACGGGUCAGAUUCAGGUGCGCGGGCAAAAGGGAUUAAACGACGUUGUUUCGACGUCGAUGCAACUUGUGCAAAACGGCGCCGUUUAGCUUUGGCUAUUUAAGCCAAAAUUUUCUUAAAAAACUUUCAUUUCUGCCCUCCUCUAAAAAAAACUGCUAUCCCCUUUUCUCUGAAUUUUCCCAAAAUCUGGCCACGGUUCCUUCGGCCCCCUCGCGUCGACCACCGUGGCUCCGCCGUGGCCGACGGUCAGAGCCACACAAAACCCAUUUUUAAUGCCGUUUUAAAAAACAUUUGAAGGCCAUGCUUUCUAAGCCCAAAGGCCGAAGGAAAAGAGAUUUCCACGCCCUCCUUCGGUCCGAUUUCGGCGGCCAUAAAGGGGCACCGGCGAUGGGACAGGUUGGGCGAUCCCAGGUAUUUCUCUUUUCUCUUUUUUAAAUUUUGUUAUUUUUUUGUUAAAACUGAUUUGUAAAAGAAGUGAAUAAAUAAAUAAUAAAAAAAACGAAAACAGAAAACAGAAAACAGAAAAAUAAAAAGAAAAACGAUCAGAUUUUUCAACCUUUUAAUAUCUUUGUUCUGUUUUUUGAUUAACUGAUGUGCGUAAAAAAGUACAAGGAUCCGAUCUAGGCUUUUAUAGCCGAUUUCAAUGACUCUUUUAUUUCUCUUUUUUGUUUGUUUUCAUUAACUAAUAUCACUUGCAUGCUUCUCUACUAUUGCAUUCAAUUUUGCAGGUGUUUCGAGGCCGACGGUGGUGGCAGAGGCAUGCGCGAGGAGGCUGGCAGAACGUGCGGCGCUGGGGCAUUGGGCAGAGGUGUGCGACGCUGGAGGCCC
This 43992-nucleotide long non-coding RNA is filed under the name Gossypium barbadense (sea-island cotton). RNAcentral's name for it is "long non-coding RNA (GBAR_LNC020714)". The stretch from base 42132 to 42218 matches the Rfam family "MIR7486 microRNA precursor family". Lineage: Eukaryota; Viridiplantae; Streptophyta; Magnoliopsida; Malvales; Malvaceae. The record is from RNAcentral.